Molecule: transfer RNA, 72 nt
Filed under: Tursiops truncatus (common bottlenose dolphin)
Lineage: Eukaryota; Metazoa; Chordata; Mammalia; Artiodactyla; Delphinidae
Description: tRNA-Asp (GTC) (tRNA-Asp-GTC-6-1)
Rfam family: tRNA
About the family: Transfer RNA (tRNA) molecules are approximately 80 nucleotides in length. Their secondary structure includes four short double-helical elements and three loops (D, anti-codon, and T loops). Further hydrogen bonds mediate the characteristic L-shaped molecular structure. tRNAs have two regions of fundamental functional importance: the anti-codon, which is responsible for specific mRNA codon recognition, and the 3' end, to which the tRNAs corresponding amino acid is attached (by aminoacyl-tRNA synthetases). tRNAs cope with the degeneracy of the genetic code in two manners: having more than one tRNA (with a specific anti-codon) for a particular amino acid; and 'wobble' base-pairing, i.e. permitting non-standard base-pairing at the 3rd anti-codon position.
Source: Rfam by way of RNAcentral
UCCCUGGUGGUCUAGUGGUUAGGAUUCAGCGCUGUCACUGCCGUGGCCCAGGUUCGAUCCCUGGUCAGGGAA